This is a long non-coding RNA of Octopus bimaculoides (California two-spot octopus), 4552 nucleotides long. The record is from RefSeq and is a predicted model, not a curated record. Lineage: Eukaryota; Metazoa; Mollusca; Cephalopoda; Octopoda; Octopodidae.
UCUUUUUAGACUAAACGCAAGGAGAUGCAAUGCAUAAUGGCAUACUUCUUUAAAUUCUACCACCUCAGAAAGAAUUUGAACCCAGAACCUAGAGGGACUUAACUCAAUACCGAAGCUAGUUUAGUCCUGAGUGCCAACUCCUCAGACCAGGACGGUUGCAUUUUUUUGUUUUGCUACUUUAAAAUAACUGACAAGGAAAUGAAAACUAGAGUAUAAAAUAAUGUUGCCAUUAAAAAAUGUAUAUUUCAUUGCUCUUAAAUGCAAUGACAUUAAGAAAAGAAAAUGUAUCACUAAGACAAACAUUCAACACAUUGAGAUUCUUAAUGAUCCCAAUAACACUCUAAUGACUAAAUGAAGUAUAAGCAAAAAUUUAAUAAUAUGAUUUCUUUGGCAAUCCUGCAAUGCCUUGAAACCAAACAAAAUACUAGGCCACGUUAAUGUACCACCAAAAAGAUAACGUGGUAAGCGAGCAGGAUCGAAGAUGUGCACAGGCAGCACAACCUCAUUAACAUAAUCUAGUCAGAGUAGAGUAAGUCACAUGACUAGUACAACCAACAAGCCGGAGCCCCGUUCAUAUAGUUAUACGACCUUGAUGGCGAGAGGCAGACAAUUACACAGCACUAAGCAACAAACCAAAAAUUCCUUGUAUGGAAGGCCAUCUCUAACUUGUAAAAAAAAUUAAUGAUACUAACUAGUAUAUAGCUGAUGCUUUUUGGUCGGUCUCUCCAUCAAUUGAACACGUACUGCUACGAUAUUAAUAAUAAAACGAACGAUUACUACAGAAGAAAAAUGUCGAGCGAGACACGUCUCCCACAUAUAGGCGGCGGCGGCGGGAGGUAAUCUGGCAGCCAACAAUGGCGGAAUGACACAGAAAAGGCAAAAAAGAAUUGGUCUCGUUACAUUUUACAACAGUUUUAGGGGCUCCACUAAAUACAACAUUAAAGCUUUCUGGUAAACUGACAUCUGACUCUUCAAAGAAGACUUCAAAUGUCACUGGUAGUGACGUCUCUUGAAAAUGGACAAAAUUUGACAUCAUGAAGUUAUCAAGUACCAGCAGAAAAAAGGUUUAACCUCCAAGGACAUUCAUACUGACAUGGUUGCUACAUAACAGGAUGAUAUUCCAGCUUUAUUAACAGUGCAAAAGUGUGCAGAUGAAUAUUUGGAGGGAAACAGAGUCUUGAAGUUGACCUAGGUUCUGAAUGUCCAACAACUGCCACCAGAGGAAAACACUGAUUGUAUUCAUCACAUGUUGAUAGAUGAUAGGUAAUUGAUUGUAAUUCAAACAGUCAAUGUUACCAGCAUAUCUCAUGAGAGUUGAGAAUAUUCUGCACAAUGAACUUGGCAUGAUGAAGGUUUCUGCUUGGUGGGUGCUACACCUUCUGACACCUGAUUAAAAAUGCCCCAGACUGGUAACAUCAUGGCAAAAUCUGACAUUGUUUAAAGCAAAUCCAGCUGGUUUCCAUGAACAUUUUCUAACUCAGGAUGAGUGUUGACUUCAUCGCUUUGAGCCAAAGACAAAGGGCUAAUUGAUGUAAUGCGUGUGCAUGUUUGUCUAUGUGAAUGGUCACAAAACUAUGCACCAGUUGGAGCCCGACCAGUAUUGGGCUCCAACUGGUGAUAUUUGUUGAUAUUUCCUAACAAUAAAUUAUCUACUAGCUCUGUGUUUUUGAUUUCCUAUGGGAUAAAUAAUCCUUACCUUACAAAAUAGCUAAUGGUUGGCAACAGAUGUUAAAUGAAUAAACAAUAUAUAAUACUGGUAAAGGAAAUAUAAGCAAGAACUUUUAAGAAAGGUUUGUCUUCAAAUAUUUGCUAUUUAUACACUAAAAUGGCUUUAAUCAAUUUCAUUCAUUUGUAAUGAGAACUUGUUAUGUCAAUAUUUUAUUACUCUGAUUUAAAGUUUGCGGUGAAUUGUUCUGCAAUGAAACAGCUGUACCAUUAGCAGAAUAUAUUUCACAAGGGGAACCUGCAACCAAAUUCCAAAGCUUUCUUAGUUUAUGGGCUAGGCCCUCCUAGGGAGAAAAGAAUGGAAAAUAUUAAAUAUAUAUAUAUAUAUAUAUAUAUAUUAAUUUUAAAGUUGCGUUAAGGCAGUGAACUGGCAGAAUUGUUAGCACACCUCACAGCAUUUUGUCUGUCUUUACAUUCUGAGUUCAAAUACCAAUGAGGUUGACUUUGCCUUUCCUCCUUUUGAGGUUGAUAAAAUAAGUAUCAGUUGAGCACUAGGGUCAAUAAAAUAAUUAUCAGUUGAACACUGGAUUGAUGUAAUUGACUUAUCCCCUCCCCAGAAUUGCUAGCCUUCUGCCAUUUGAAACCAAUUUUAGAGUUGAGUUGCUAUUAAAAUUUUGUUAGUAUUGUUAGUUUUUUUUUGUUUUUUCUUUUGCUCCAUAAUUUCGAGAAACCUGAAUCAACAAUAAUUUGAAAUAAGGCUCUACAUCCAUCGGAGAGAAAUUCCAUAGUGUACCUAGUACAAACAAUGGAUACGUAAGCAGGGCAGUGCUAUCAUAGGCAGGUUAACAGUGCAAGUAGGCUUUGCUUGUGGCCAAUGUGCAGGAGCAAUAAACAUUGAGAAGGAGAUGGAAAACAGGUUGUUUUUUUUUUCAAAUGCUCAGGAAGAUCCCUAGGGGUAGUAGAUAACUUUUGUUAGCAAUUUAACAAUAAUUUGAAAUUUUAAUAGCAUCAAUAUUAUUGGUUUAAAAUUAUGACACAAAGCCAACAGUUUCAAGGAAGGGGCUAAGUUGAUUACAUUGACCCCAGUGCUCAACUGGUACUUAUUUUAUCAACCCCAAAAGAAUGAAAGGCAAAAUAUUUUUGACAGAAUAAUCUGAAUGCUAAAGGGAACAACACUAGACAAGAAACUACAUCAGAUGUACAUUCCCAACCCCUAUUUACAAACUUGCAAUAAAAUCCAUUUCACUGAAAUUUAUGGGCUGUUUGUAACAUUCAUAGAUAUCACAACUUUAUCAUUUGCUUUUGGUCUUCUUGCUUGUGGUUUAUCAGUAAGAGAACUAAUUCUAAAGGAAUACAUCACUUUAAAGUGAGACUGAUGAUUUCAAAAUGAGUACAUUUCACUUUUCAAAACUUCUUCCACUGAAUUGACAAAGUAUCAUCUUGCAGUCAUCAAUCUCACUUUAAAGUGACAAUAUUUCGCUUUGAAGAAAAAUUUGCUCAUUUAUAAGUGGUAGUCUUCUUAAAUUUUUCCAUCCAAUUUUGAAUUGAAUUUCCUUUUCAAAUUGGGAGUCCAAUUUUCAUACAACAACCCAUAAAAUAUAACAAUUUUCAUUAAGUGGUGCAAUUAGUAUUGUAAAGGAUUUUAUUAUUUGGAAAAGACCCCCUAAAACUAUUGAAUGAAGAUUUCACUCAACUUUUAGAAGCUAUUAGAAAUCAUAGUGAAUACCUCACAAAGGUAUAUUUGUAGCACACACUGAUAUGAUGUAUAUCCAGAUUUAGUUUGAUUUUUGUCACCAAUUAAGUCUACUUUCAGAACAACUAGAGUCAGUAUCAAAUUACCUCACUAUUUUCUAGUUCAGUCACUAAUAUGCCUACUGUAUAAAGACCAUCAGCAGCUUGCAUGACAACAGAAAGCAGCAAGUUUCUUAUAUCAAUCACUUUUCAGAACAAUCAACUGGUAUGCUAUUUCUUUCACUUAUACAAACUGGUAUCGAAUGAGCCUAUAUCAACUUUUAAGUAUCAACAAAUACCAAAAUUGAUUUCUGAAAUCUGGCAUAUAGAACAGUGACCAGGUCAACAGUUAUACUACUCUAACAGGGAGUGCCAUCAGCUCACAUUUAGAACACUUGUGAACUUCAAAUCAUUACCAAGUUCAUCACCUUUUGUAACUAGUUUUAUCACUGCAGAACUCAACAACAGACAAUUUCACUUCCCAACUUAGUUACUCAGUGGGAAUGCAUAGUAGCAACCAGGAUUGUAAAACCAUGUACAAGUGUACUUUGAAUACACAGAACAUUUUACAGACUCACUUGCACAAAAAAAAAAAAAACAUCCUGUAGAUUUACUUGGAGCUCAUGCACACAUCUUUUACAGAUGCAUACAUAUAUGGCAUGUUCUGUUAGUUACUUUGCCAACUUACUAAGUACAUGUUUAUACAUAUAUAUACAUAUAUAUAUAUACACACACACACAGUAGUACCUCGGUUUUUGAACAACUCUGAUCACGAAUAAAUCACACUUUAUGUCCUGUCUUUCUCAUAUUCAUUUAAUACAGCAGUACCUCAGUUUACAAACGCCUCUGAUCACAAAUAAAUCGUGCUUUAUACAUAUAUAUAUAUAUAUAUAUAUAUAUAUAUAUAUAUAUAUAAAGCAUGAUUUAUUCAUGUUUGAAAACCAAGGUACUACUGUAUAUAUAUGUAUAUAAGCCAUUCCACAACCUUUGUAGAAGACUGUUUUCACCUCUGUGUCUGUAACAUUCAUCCAAUUAUUUUUGCUGUCAAAGAUGAAGCCUCACAUCAUAUGUACAAUUUAUUCUGGUUGAUCAUAGCUUGUAGCUAAGCUAAUUUAUGAACCAGUAGAGAAUGUUAAUAAAAUCAUUUUAACUGUUA